Molecule: ribosomal RNA, 454 nt
Filed under: uncultured bacterium
Lineage: Bacteria
Description: bacterial SSU rRNA
Rfam family: Bacterial small subunit ribosomal RNA
Source: RNAcentral
UACGGAGGCAGCAGUGGGGAAUAUUGCACAAUGGGCGCAAGCCUGAUGCAGCCAUGCCGCGUGUAUGAAGAAGGCCUUCGGGUUGUAAAGUACUUUCAGUCGUGAGGAAGGUGUUAAGGUUAAUAACCUUAGCAAUUGACGUUAGCGACAGAAGAAGCACCGGCUAACUCCGUGCCAGCAGCCGCGGUAAUACGGAGGGUGCGAGCGUUAAUCGGAAUUACUGGGCGUAAAGGGCACGCAGGCGGUUAAUUAAGUUGGAUGUGAAAUCCCCGGGCUUAACCUGGGAAUGGCAUUCAAGACUGGUUAGCUAGAGUCUUGUAGAGGGGGUAGAAUUCCAUGUGUAGCGGUGAAAUGCGUAGAGAUGUGGAGGAAUACCGGUGGCGAAAGGCGGCCCCUGGGACAAAGACUGACGCUCAUGUGCGAAAGCGUGGGGAGCAAACAGGGAUUAGAUACC